Molecule: long non-coding RNA, 1960 nt
Filed under: Equus caballus (horse)
Lineage: Eukaryota; Metazoa; Chordata; Mammalia; Perissodactyla; Equidae
Description: lncRNA (ENSECAG00000049640.1)
Source: RNAcentral
GUGAUGUUGGCACUCCUCCAUUGAGAGGUAGGGUCUAUUCCCUCCUCUUGAACCUGGACAGACUUUUGUGGUUGCCACAACCAAUAGGAUACUGUGGAAGUGAAGGUGUGUGGCUUCCAAGACUAGGUUAUAAAAGGCAUUGCAGCUUCCACCUUGGCCUCUCGGGUAACUCACUGCAAAAGCCAGCCACCAUGUCACGAAGACGCUCGAGCAGCUCCGUGGAGAGGUGCAUGGGGAGAGGAGCUGAGGCCCCCAUCCUACAGCCGGCACUGACUUGACAGCUGUAGAAUUCAUGGAUGAUCCUGUGAAUAACAGCUCCUGGUGGCGAAUUUGAAACUUUGUUUUUAAAGAUGACAGUUUGUCACGGACAAAGAUGAUCAGACCUUUAUCGUUGGGUAGAGAGGGCUGUCCACUCUUCUCUGAGAAGUCCCAGCAUUUUGGUCACAACACUGAGCCCUCCCAGCCGGCCGGCCAGUGGGGGCCACGUCCAGAGGCUGUGUCCCCAAACUACCCCUGAUCAAAACUGGCAGGCAGGGGAGACUCCAGGAUCGCCAGAGGGAGGUGGUCAUCUCUGAGGAGUGGUCUUGGGCCCGGUCCCCAACCUGCAUCUCCAAAGCCAGCACAGUUUCACUUCCACUGUAGGGUAAAAAUCAGCAGGUGUUAUGGGCUGAAAUGGUGUCCCCCAAAUUCACAUUUUGAAAUUUUAAACCCCUGGUACCUCAGAACAUGACUCUAUUUGGAGACAGGGUCUUUAAAGAGGUAAUCAAGGUAAGAUGAGGUCAUAGGGUGGGCCCUAAUCCAAUACAACUUGUGUCCUUAUGGGAAGAGGAGAUGAGGACGCAGACAGGCACAGAGGGAGCCACAUGAAGACAAAGAGGAGAAGAGAGGCCUCGGAAGACACCAACCCUGUCAACACCUUGAUCUCAGACUUGGAGCCCCCAGGACGGUGAGGAAAUCCAUUUCUGCUGUGGAAGCCAUCUCGACAGUGGUACUGUUAUGGCCUCCUGAGUGAACGAACACACCCAGUUUCCUAGAGACACACUUUAAUGUAAGAUGGACAAAAUGGCCUUUGUACACAGCAAAGACUAUUACCUACUGGUGGUGGCUCAGAGGUAUGGGGCUGGUGGUGGUUAUGGGGGCCUUGGGUACCCCUACCCCCUGAGGUGCCACCACCGCAGGCUGCAUGUUAGCAUCCCUGGCCUUUCCAGCAGGCAAGGUGGAGAAGUAAUGUCAGCACCCACCCAGCAUGAGGAGCACCCAGGACUUGCCUCGCCAUGUGGCUUCCAAUUAACCUGUCAAGACUGCAGCCCUGUGUGAAGCUGCAGCCGGGCCCUGAGGCCUCCACCUGGUCUUGCCAGGCCUGUCUCCAGGGACCAUUUGGGACCCUGACACUCCUCUCAGUUCUCUGACUCCCAGACCACCUCUCCCAUCUCUGUCACCAGAGAUUCUGGCUGCUAAGUUUUGACUCCCCACCGCCAUCAGACCCUGGAGCGUGGUUGCUGGUCUGGGGGAGAUUGCCCGUCUCCACAUCCAUGCCCUUAGCCAAGCUUGAAGCCCUGGGCAUUCUUCCUCUCAGAGGCCACACCCCUCAAACGUAUCCAAAAGCAGCCACGUGCCACAUCACAUAUAAUUUUCAUAAACUAUAGGCGCUGAGUUGCAAUUGUCUAGUCAACCUUUUGUAGACAUUUAAUCAUUUCAUCCUUACAGCAUACUUUCCUAAUUUUAGAGCUGGUAAUGAUCCUGGCUGUGGCUCAGGUGUUUCCAUGGAUGUUUGAAAAGCUGGCUGGCCCUGGGCACCAGCUGUGGACCCAGCUGUGGGUAGUCCCGAGGGCCCUUCCCAGGAGGUACCAGCAUGCACUGGGUGUGCCUGACCCAAGAGGAGCCCUCCCAGCACCUGGUGGCCAGUUGCGAUGCCCCACCCCCCUUCCAGUGCUGCAGGGGAGAAGGAGGGGCACUUUUC